UUGGCAUAAUGGUUAAGUGCUGGGCUGCUAACCCAGAGGUUGGCAGUUCGAACCUAUCA
Molecule: transfer RNA, 59 nt
Filed under: Loxodonta africana (African savanna elephant)
Lineage: Eukaryota; Metazoa; Chordata; Mammalia; Proboscidea; Elephantidae
Rfam family: tRNA
About the family: Transfer RNA (tRNA) molecules are approximately 80 nucleotides in length. Their secondary structure includes four short double-helical elements and three loops (D, anti-codon, and T loops). Further hydrogen bonds mediate the characteristic L-shaped molecular structure. tRNAs have two regions of fundamental functional importance: the anti-codon, which is responsible for specific mRNA codon recognition, and the 3' end, to which the tRNAs corresponding amino acid is attached (by aminoacyl-tRNA synthetases). tRNAs cope with the degeneracy of the genetic code in two manners: having more than one tRNA (with a specific anti-codon) for a particular amino acid; and 'wobble' base-pairing, i.e. permitting non-standard base-pairing at the 3rd anti-codon position.
Source: Rfam by way of RNAcentral